UACGGGGGGGGCAAGCGUUGUUCGGAAUUACUGGGCGUAAAGGGCUCGUAGGCGGCCAACUAAGUCAGACGUGAAAUCCCUCGGCUUAACCGGGGAACUGCGUCUGAUACUGGAUGGCUUGAGAUUGGGAGAGGGAUGCGGAAUUCCAGGUGUAGCGGUGAAAUGCGUAGAUAUCUGGAGGAACACCGGUGGCGAAGGCGGGUCUCUGGGCCGAUAUCGACGCUGAGGAGCGAAAGCGUGGGGAGCGAACAGG
RNAcentral lists this ribosomal RNA (253 nucleotides) under uncultured bacterium. RNAcentral describes it as "partial 16S ribosomal RNA". It matches the Rfam family "Bacterial small subunit ribosomal RNA", at positions 524 to 776 of the family's 1533-position model. The record is from RNAcentral.